This is a long non-coding RNA of Macaca fascicularis (crab-eating macaque), 2062 nucleotides long. Lineage: Eukaryota; Metazoa; Chordata; Mammalia; Primates; Cercopithecidae. The record is from Ensembl.
CGCAGAAAUUUUGUUUCUAUGUAGCAUAGACCUCCUAAGGAAUUCUGUUUCUUUUAGCAUUGAGAUCCCUGGUGCUCUUUUUUUACCUCAGAAUUGGUACAAUCAUUAUUAAAUGUUAAUUUAUUUCAAACUUUUUAAUUGAAAAAAGGAAAGGGAAGCUUAAUUGGGGAUAAAUUCAGGCAUCAUAUUAUUAUGAUAGAGUCUCAUGAGGGGUUUGUCUAUAGGUAAUGAACUCAUUGGUGUUAUUUCUUGGACAUCUUGGCCUUUUAAUCGAAGACUGUGUGCUGCUAUUUGCUAUCAGCAAGGUUUCUCAAAAGCAAAAGGUGCUUGGACCACUUGGAUCACCUGAGUUAGAAUCUCUAGGUAUAAGGCCUAAGUAUCUGCAUUUUCACUGGUUUCCUGUAGGUGACUUUUGCAAGCUAAAGUAUGAGAACCAUUGACUUAGAUGUAGCUCUAAACUUUUAGGUCUGUAAAUCUUGAAAUGUUGAACUGAAGGUCAACUGUUGGCUUUUUUUUUUUAAUGUCCAUCAUGUAAGCAGGUGCAAAUCACUUUUCCCCUUUGCAUGAUCUGAGGCACCACCUCAGUUGUUUCACUGCCAGCUCUUAUUUCAGAACCUGUUUACAAACAAGCCUUCCAGUUGGUGAAUGGUUAGCCAUUGGAGCUCCUACCCUGUACAUCAGCACAUCUGGUUUACAAGUUGGGUAACAAUGAAAGCUGGAGAUGCUAAAUGGAAAUCCAGCAAUGCAUACCCUUAGACCUGAUCACAUACCAGUAAAAGCCUUAAUUUAGAUGUUAGUUGUAUGUGUUGGACAGAUCCUUGCAAAAAGUGUGUCUAUUAGUUGUAAAUUUGAAAGUUAUAAAUCUCUGAAUCUGCCAUUAUCCAAGUUUCAUCCCUUUUGAAGAUGAGGCAUGAGCCUAUUAAAAUAUUUAUAAUCAUUUUCCAUCUCCUACUGCAAGACCUUUAGAUUCUUAAAAAUGAUUACUAUAGGAAUAGUGGCCACUUAAUGUCAGUUACUCUGGUGGAAGAAUUUUUUUUUUUCUUUUCUUUUUGGGAAGGAUGGUGUAAAAAAUAGCAAGAUUAGAGAAUGAGUUGUAUAGUUUUUUCUAUCACAUUUCAUCUAAAAUGAUUUGAAGGACUUUUGAAGAUUUUUGCCAACAUCCUUAAAUCAACUCCAGAUUGAAUGAACAACUGAUUUAAAACAAACUAAGAACAUUAACUAGAUGUGGGCUUUUUAAAAUAUAUAGGUAUUGCAUUUCCUACCUUGUUAUUUAUUCCACUUUGAAUACUUUAGAGGGGUUAACUUUCAACUCUUUAAGUAGUAACGGAUGUUUUAUACUUGUUCUCACAAAAUUGUUAUGGUCAGUUUAUAUCAUUGCUCCAUGCAUUGAUUAUAAAAAUUCAGUAUUAAUUUUUUCUCUGAUUGAUCUUAUAAGCUUUAGAGUUUUCUCUUAUAAAGUGUUUCACCUUAUUAUGUAAAACAAAUGCCUGCUUGCAUAUUGGAAGAUGUUGAAAUUAGUUUUAGACAAAAAUGGUCCAUCAGUUCAGACACUCUGCUUGGAUGCCUUACCCUUUUCAUUAGUGCAUUCUUUGCUUCUGAAACUUGGCAGAAACUCGUUAGCCAGUCCACUGCCUUUCUGAAAAUGUGUGGAGUCACGUAUGCUUGGUAUAUGCCUUUACUACUUUUAAAGUUCUACAGUUUAUUACUUGCCCAAGUAUUACUAAAUCCUUUUCUUACAUGUACUGGAUGGAGAAAAAAUUAUAGCCAGCACUUUGAGAGGAAAGUUUUCGGAAACGAUAUUAACUGGCACUACUAACUGAAGGCCACAGAAGAUGCUAUCAAUGUUAUUUGUAACCUGAAGAUUGAACAAGGCUGUGAGGCUCAUUUCAAACUAUUUUGAGGUGUUAAAUUAUAUAUAUGCUGUUUCUCAGCUGUUCCACUCAAACCGUGUUAGGACUCUCAAAGGUAAAAUGUCACAGGGGCAUUUCAGUUGUUACUGAGCUCAGCAGCUGUGGUGGCCCCUGUUCUACACCAAUUUCAGUUCAAUAAAAAUGUUAACUUU